Molecule: ribosomal RNA, 460 nt
Filed under: uncultured bacterium
Lineage: Bacteria
Description: partial 16S ribosomal RNA
Rfam family: Bacterial small subunit ribosomal RNA
Source: RNAcentral
CCUACGGGUGGCAGCAGUGAGGAAUAUUGGUCAAUGGCCGGAAGGCUGAACCAGCCAUGCCGCGUGCAGGUCAGUGCCCUAUGGGCGUUAAACCUCUUUUGUGCGGGAGCAAUAAUGGUCACGUGUGGCCAGACGAGAGUACCGUACGAAUAAGCAUCGGCUAACUCCGUGCCAGCAGCCGCGGUGAUACGGGGGAUGUAAGCGUUAUCCGGAUUUAUUGGGUGUGAAGGGUGCGUAGGCUGUGAGGUAAGUCAGCGGUGAAAUGCCCCCGCUCACCGGGGUGAAGUGCCAUUGAUACUGCCAUGCUGGAAUGCGGAUGCCGUGGGAGGAAUGUGUGGUGUAGCGGUGAAAUGCAUAGAUAUCACACAGAACACCGAUUGCGAAGGCAUCUCACGAAUCCGCGAUUGACGCUGAUGCACGAAAGCGUGGGUAUCAAACAGGAUUAGAUACCCCAGUAGUC